GCUAACGCGGAGCUAAUACCGCAUAUGUUCGCUCAUUCGGUUGGGCGAGUAAAGCAGCGAUGCGCUUAGGGAUGGGCCUGCGGCGGAUUAGGUAGUUGGUGGGGUAACGGCCUACCAAGCCGAUGAUCCGUAGGGGGCGUGAGAGCGUGGCCCCCCACACUGGCACUGAGACACGGGCCAGACUCCUACGGGAGGCAGCAGUGAGGAAUAUUGCACAAUGGGCGCAAGCCUGAUGCAGCAACGCCGCGUGAGGGACGAAGGCCUUCGGGUUGUAAACCUCUUUUCUGAGGGACGAGGAAGGACGGUACCUCAGGAAUAAGUCUCGGCUAACUACGUGCCAGCAGCCGCGGUAAAACGUAGGAGGCGAGCGUUAUCCGGAUUUACUGGGCGUAAAGCGCGCGCAGGUGGCUUCGUGAGUCGGACAUGAAAGCUCCUGGCUUAACUGGGAGAGGCUGUUCGAUACUGCGGGGCUUGAGGUUGGGAGAGGGACGCGGAAUUCCCGGUGUAGUGGUGGAAUGCGUAGAUAUCGGGAGGAACACCAGUGGCGCAAGCGGCGUCCUGGCCCACACCUGACGCUGAGGUGCGAAAGCGUGGGUAGCAAACAGGAUUAGAUACCCUGGUAGUCCACGCUGUAAACGAUGUCAACUGGGUGUCGGUAGUUUUACACUAUCGGUGCCGAAGCUAACGCG
This 689-nucleotide ribosomal RNA is filed under the name uncultured bacterium. RNAcentral's name for it is "bacterial SSU rRNA". It matches the Rfam family "Bacterial small subunit ribosomal RNA", at positions 151 to 859 of the family's 1533-position model. The record is from RNAcentral.